GACGUAGGGGGCGAGCGUUGUCCGGAUUUAUUGGGCGUAAAGAGCGCGUAGGCGGCCCGGAAAGUCGGAUGUGAAAACCCGGGGCUCAACCCCGGGCCUGCAUCCGAUACUCCCGGGCUGGAGGCAGGUAGGGGAGAUCGGAAUUCCGUGGUGUAGCGGUGAAAAUGCGCAGAUAUCAGGAAGAACACCAACGGCGAAGGCAGCUCGCUAGGACGGUACUGACGCUGAGACGCGAAAGCGUGGGGGAGCGAACAGG
This 256-nucleotide ribosomal RNA is filed under the name uncultured bacterium. RNAcentral's name for it is "partial 16S ribosomal RNA". It matches the Rfam family "Bacterial small subunit ribosomal RNA", at positions 524 to 776 of the family's 1533-position model. The record is from RNAcentral.